This 253-nucleotide ribosomal RNA is filed under the name uncultured bacterium. RNAcentral's name for it is "partial 16S ribosomal RNA". It matches the Rfam family "Bacterial small subunit ribosomal RNA", at positions 524 to 776 of the family's 1533-position model. The record is from RNAcentral.
UACGGAGGGGGCUAGCGUUGUUCGGAAUUACUGGGCGUAAAGCGCACGUAGGCGGUUUUGUAAGUUAGAGGUGAAAGCCUGGGGCUCAACUCCAGAAUAGCCUUUAAGACUGCAUCACUUGAACACGGGAGAGGUGAGUGGAAUUCCGAGUGUAGAGGUGAAGUUCGUAGAUAUUCGGAAGAACACCAGUGGCGAAGGCGGCUCACUGGACCGUUGUUGACGCUGAGGUGCGAAAGCGUGGGGAGCAAACAGG